This 223-nucleotide ribosomal RNA is filed under the name Phenylobacterium sp. RNAcentral describes it as "partial 16S ribosomal RNA". It matches the Rfam family "Bacterial small subunit ribosomal RNA", at positions 1 to 252 of the family's 1533-position model. The record is from RNAcentral. Lineage: Bacteria; Pseudomonadati; Pseudomonadota; Alphaproteobacteria; Caulobacterales; Caulobacteraceae.
CAACCUGAGAGUUUGAUCCUGGCUCAGAGCGAACGCUGGCGGCAGGCCUAAUACAUGCAAGUCGAGCGGUCCCUUCGGGGGCAGCGGCGGACGGGUGAGUAACGCGUGGGAACGUGCCCUUUGGUACGGAACAACUGAGGGAAACUUCAGCUAAUACCGUAUGUGCCCUUCGGGGGAAAGAUUUAUCGCCAUUGGAGCGGCCCGCGUUGGAUUAGGUAGUUGG